Molecule: ribosomal RNA, 420 nt
Filed under: bacterium
Lineage: Bacteria
Description: partial 16S ribosomal RNA
Rfam family: Bacterial small subunit ribosomal RNA
Source: RNAcentral
UGGGGGAUAUUGCACAAUGGGCGAAAGCCUGAUGCAGCGACGCCGCGUGGGGGAUGAAGGCUUUCGGGUUGUAAUCCUCUUUCGCUAUCGAACAAGGCCCGCUUAGGGUGGGUUGAGGGUAGGUGGAGAAGAAGCGCCGGCUAACUACGUGCCAGCAGCCGCGGUAAUACGUAGGGCGCGAGCGUUGUCCGGAAUUAUUGGGCGUAAAGGGCUUGUAGGCGGCUUGUUGCGCCUGCUGUGAAAACGCGGGGCUUAACUUCGCGCGUGCAGUGGGUACGGGCAGGCUUGAGUGUGGUAGGGGUGACUGGAAUUCCAGGUGUAGCGGUGGAAUGCGCAGAUAUCUGGAGGAACACCGAUGGCGAAGGCAGGUCACUGGGCCAUUACUGACGCUGAGGAGCGAAAGCAUGGGUAGCGAACAGG